This 284-nucleotide long non-coding RNA is filed under the name Elaeis guineensis (African oil palm). RNAcentral's name for it is "long non-coding RNA (EGUI_LNC064480)". Lineage: Eukaryota; Viridiplantae; Streptophyta; Magnoliopsida; Arecales; Arecaceae. The record is from RNAcentral.
CGGGCGUGCUACCGGCGUUGAUUGUUCUCGAUUGGUUACAGUGGUUCAGUUGCAUCGGGAACAUGCAACCACUCUAUUAGCAAAGAGUUGCUCCAGGAUAAGGAUGGGAUUGGGCCCAAUAAUUGUUAGGUGAGGGAUCCAAUGAUGGCCUUGCACCUACUUGUGAAUGGUGGAUCGGACUUAACGAAGAAAUGUGGGCAAUAACUGUUAAGUGAGCCCACAUGACUAAGAGACCAAGUCGCUGCAACAUGCUUAGAAAAGCAUAUGGACAAAAAGUUUCCUAU